This 502-nucleotide ribosomal RNA is filed under the name uncultured bacterium. RNAcentral's name for it is "partial 16S ribosomal RNA". It matches the Rfam family "Bacterial small subunit ribosomal RNA", at positions 28 to 507 of the family's 1533-position model. The record is from RNAcentral.
GACGAACGCUGGCGGCGUGCCUAAUACAUGCAAGUCGAACGAACCGCGACUAGGUGCUUGCACUUGGUCAAGGUGAGUGGCGAACGGGUGAGUAACACGUGGGUAACCUACCUCAUAGUGGGGGAUAACAGUCGGAAACGACUGCUAAUACCGCAUAGGACAUAGGAUCACAUGAUCCAGUGAGGAAAGGUGGCGCAAGCUAUCGCUAAGAGAUGGACCCGCGGUGCAUUAGCUAGUUGGUAGGGUAAAGGCCUACCAAGGCGAUGAUGCAUAGCCGACCUGAGAGGGUGAUCGGCCACAUUGGGACUGAGACACGGCCCAAACUCCUACGGGAGGCAGCAGUAGGGAAUCUUCCGCAAUGGACGCAAGUCUGACGGAGCAACGCCGCGUGAGUGAAGAAGGUCUUCGGAUCGUAAAGCUCUGUUGUUAGAGAAGAACGGCGCAUAGAGUAACUGUUAUGCGUGUGACGGUAUCUAACCAGAAAGCCACGGCUAACUACGUG